This 193-nucleotide ribosomal RNA is filed under the name uncultured Anaerolineaceae bacterium. RNAcentral's name for it is "partial 16S ribosomal RNA". It matches the Rfam family "Bacterial small subunit ribosomal RNA", at positions 1191 to 1382 of the family's 1533-position model. Lineage: Bacteria; Bacillati; Chloroflexota; Anaerolineae; Anaerolineales; Anaerolineaceae. The record is from RNAcentral.
CAGCAUGGCCUUUAUAUCCUGGGCUACACACACGCUACAAUGGGAAGGGACAUAGGUUGCGAAGCCGCGAGGCGGAGCCAAUCCAGCAAAACUUCCCUCAGUUCAGAUUGCAGGCUGCAACUCGCCUGCAUGAAGUUGGAGUUGCUAGUAAACGCAGGUCAGCCAUACUGCGUUGAAUACGUUCCCGGGGCUU